This 511-nucleotide ribosomal RNA is filed under the name uncultured bacterium. RNAcentral's name for it is "bacterial SSU rRNA". It matches the Rfam family "Bacterial small subunit ribosomal RNA", at positions 19 to 518 of the family's 1533-position model. The record is from RNAcentral.
CUGGCUCAGGAUGAACGCUAGCUACAGGCUUAACACAUGCAAGUCGAGGGGCAGCAUGGAGUUGCUGCAAACUCUGAUGGCGACCGGCGCACGGGUGAGUAACGCGUAUCCAACCUUCCCUAUAGUAGAGGAUAGCCCGGCGAAAGUCGGAUUAAUACUCUAUGUUUUCCGUUGCAGACAUCUAAGAUGGAACAAAGGCUUGCCGCUAUAGGAUGGGGGAUGCGUCUGAUUAGGUAGUCGGCGGGGUAACGGCCCACCGAGCCAUCGAUCAGUAGGGGUUCUGAGAGGAAGGUCCCCCACAUUGGAACUGAGACACGGUCCCAAACUCCUACGGGAGGCAGCAGUGAGGAAUAUUGGUCAAUGGGCGAGAGCCUGAACCAGCCAAGUAGCCGUGCAGGAUGACGGCCCUAUGGGUUGUAAACUGCUUUUAUGCGGGGAUAAAGUUCACUACGUGUAGUGUUUUGUAGGUACCGCAUGAAUAAGGACCGGCUAAUUCCGUGCCAGCCGCGGC